CCCUUAGACGUUCUGGGCCGCACGCGCGCUACGCUGACGAAGGCAACGAGCUUUCCUUUACCGAAAGGUACGGGUAAUCUUUUGAAACUUCGUCGUGCUGGGGAUAGAUCCUUGCAAUUUUUGAUCUUAAACGAGGAAUGCCUAGUAAGCGCAAGUCAUCAACUUGCGUUGAUUACGUCCCUGCCCUUUGUACACACCGCCCGUCGCUACUACCGAUUGAAUGGUUUAGUGAGGCCUUCGGAUCCGCGACUCGUUUUGUGGAGAAGUUGGACAAACUCAGUCAUUUAGAGGAAGUAAAAGUCGUAACA
Molecule: ribosomal RNA, 308 nt
Filed under: uncultured eukaryote
Lineage: Eukaryota
Description: partial 18S ribosomal RNA
Rfam family: Eukaryotic small subunit ribosomal RNA
Source: RNAcentral